RNAcentral lists this transfer RNA (64 nucleotides) under Cerambycidae sp. 3 KM-2017. RNAcentral's name for it is "tRNA-Asn". The record is from RNAcentral. Lineage: Eukaryota; Metazoa; Arthropoda; Insecta; Coleoptera; Cerambycidae.
UUAAUUGAAACCAAAUAGAGGUUUAUCACUGUUAAUGAUAUCAUUGAGAAUUUCUCCAAUUAAG